GCAGUCGUGGUUAAGUGGUAGAAUAUGACCUUGCCAAGGUUGUGACCCGAGUUCGAUUCUCGGCGACUGCA
RNAcentral lists this transfer RNA (71 nucleotides) under uncultured archaeon. RNAcentral describes it as "tRNA-Gly(gcc)". It matches the Rfam family "tRNA". From Rfam's summary of the family: Transfer RNA (tRNA) molecules are approximately 80 nucleotides in length. Their secondary structure includes four short double-helical elements and three loops (D, anti-codon, and T loops). The record is from RNAcentral.